RNAcentral lists this ribosomal RNA (257 nucleotides) under uncultured Burkholderiales bacterium. RNAcentral describes it as "partial 16S ribosomal RNA". It matches the Rfam family "Bacterial small subunit ribosomal RNA", at positions 524 to 780 of the family's 1533-position model. Lineage: Bacteria; Pseudomonadati; Pseudomonadota; Betaproteobacteria; Burkholderiales. The record is from RNAcentral.
UACGUAGGGUGCAAGCGUUAAUCGGAAUUACUGGGCGUAAAGCGUGCGCAGGCGGUUAUGCAAGACAGAGGUGAAAUCCCCGGGCUCAACCUGGGAACUGCCUUUGUGACUGCAUGGCUAGAGUACGGUAGAGGGGGAUGGAAUUCCGCGUGUAGCAGUGAGAUGCGUAGAUAUGCGGAGGAACACCGAUGGCGAAGGCAAUCCCCUGGACCUGUACUGACGCUCAUGCACGAAAGCGUGGGGAGCAAACAGGAUUA